Molecule: ribosomal RNA, 406 nt
Filed under: uncultured bacterium
Lineage: Bacteria
Description: partial 16S ribosomal RNA
Rfam family: Bacterial small subunit ribosomal RNA
Source: RNAcentral
AUUGAACGCUGGCGGCAGGCCUAACACAUGCAAGUCGAACGAGUGGCGGACGGGUGAGUAAUGUCUGGGAAACUGCCCGAUGGAGGGGGAUAACUACUGGAAACGGUAGCUAAUACCGCAUACCAUCGGAUGUGCCCAGAUGGGAUUAGUUUGUAGGUGAGGUAACGGCUGACAUAGGCGACUAUCCCUAGCUGGUCUUAGAGGAUGACCAGCCACAAUGGAACUGAGAGACGGGCGAGACUCCUACGGUGGGCAGCAGUGGGGAAGAUUGCACAAUGGGCGAAAUCCUGAUGCAGCAAUGCCGCGUGUAUGAAGAAGGCCUUCGGGUUGUAAAGUACGUUCAGCUGGGAGGCGUGACCCGCAGAAGAAUCUCCGGCGAACUCCGUGCCAGCAGCCGCGGUAAUAC